Molecule: long non-coding RNA, 1804 nt
Organism: Equus caballus (horse)
Lineage: Eukaryota; Metazoa; Chordata; Mammalia; Perissodactyla; Equidae
Source: Ensembl
UUCUGAAGUUCAGUUGAAGUUGACAAAUAAUAUCCAAGGGCCUAGUGUGUUCUAGACAACAUGCUAAGCAUUUGAAAGUCACUACAGGAUGAAAACAGGAAUACAUAGCUUACUGAGUAGUACAGUAAAAUACCUCCAAUGUGUGGGUGAUGCGGGGUCGGUGAGCCGAGGGUCAAAAGAAAGAUUUCUUAGACUCUUAAGAUCUGGCAGUAGUGCUCUUUUAUUUAGAGAAUAGUGUGGAAUAGCAUGGGGACAGGACCCAUGGGCAGUCAGAGCUUCUGCUGCCGCCGCUUCUGCUGCCCCUGCUGGCAUGGGGACAGGACCCAUGGGCAGGCAGAGCUGGUGCGUGGGGACAGGACCCACGGGCAGUCAGAGCUCCUGCUGCUGCCCUGAGUUGAGGGUUAGGGCUAAUUUUAUAAGGCAUGGGUACGUGACUUAUUUUUACUGGAAAAAAAAGAAAAAGAAAAAGAUGAUGUAAAAAGUCAUUAAAUGAUUUCAGUGCAGAUGGGGUCUGGUUAUUGUGCGGUCAUAUAACUUUAGAUACGAAUCUGGCCAUAUAGAUCGGCAUGCAGGUGAGGAUGCCCCGGGCUUCUCUCCCUGGGGCAGUCCUAAUUCAUACCAUAAAAAAGUCCACUGGGUCAUAUAGUUUGGCAUGUAGGCCAGGUCACCUUGGGCUUCUCUAGCUGGGGCAGCCUUAAUCCACAUCAUAAACCCCCCCUGAACCCAUUUGGCCCCAAAAUCUUUUGGGGAUAUGGACGACGGUCAGUCUUCUGUAACUACUUCCGGCUGUACAAGGUCGUAGAGCUGUCCCUAAAUGGGGCCAUAGGUAUAGGUAGGAGGUUCAGCGGACCGGAAGACUGCACCCGUGGAGUCCAAGGCUGACAAGGCAUCCAGAGCCUCUGGGGACGAGAGAAUCAUUUGACGAGUGGUGGUCCAGGAGGUGAAACUUUGUUGACAUGCGGAAGACAAACAAUGAAACAGACAACAAAUUAUAAUAAGAAAUACAAGCAGUAUGAUUAACCCAAUGAAUAAGGUUUUGAUAGCCGUCCAGAAACCUGGACCUGACCAAGAGUUCAACCAGUCAUUUAGAGAUAGGGGAGGGUCAGGCAUGGACUUAAUUUGGUGGCUCAUAUCAGACAGGAAGCCGGAGAUAUUUUGAUGGUAGUCAGGAAUAUAGACACAACAUUCAGUUUUUAUAAUGGCACAGGUGCCCCCCUGUGCUGCUGUCAAGACAUCCAGUGCCAUUCGGUUUUGGAGGACUGCCUUACGCAUUUGGGAUACUUCUAAAUUGAGCAGCUAAAGGCUAUGUUGUGUAUCAUUUAAUGCCUUCAUAGUAAAUUUGUUUAGGACUUCCAUGUGCAAGAUGACACUUUGAAUUCCUAAUUGGGGAAGGAAAAUUGAGGCAACGUGGUCAUACCAGUGGAAGACAGAGCAGGUCCAGCGCUGUUGCAGGUUGGGUAGGUUAGCAGGAGGAGAUAUAGUAAAUGUAGUUCUACCUUGCAUCCAGACAAAGCCUAGCGUGCAUCGUCCAAUCCAUCCAGGUGGCAGCCAAGGCCAUAAGUUGGAGCCACAUAGCCACUGAGUUCCAUUAGGGGCUAACCAAUGCGUGCUGGGCCGUCUAUCCCAGUCAGUCUCAAACCAAUCAGUAUUUUUUAAGGUUAUGAUAUGAGAACACAUAUGACAGGGAAUUUUCCCAUAGGUCGGGUGCUAUUAGGCCAUGUAUCACAGGUGUGAUUGGUUUGUUCCCAACAUAGAGUGGACUUUUGACUGAGUUGACCACUAGCAGGAGUGAGCCAAAUACAUU